RNAcentral lists this long non-coding RNA (973 nucleotides) under Helianthus annuus (common sunflower). Its description in RNAcentral is "hypothetical non coding rna". The record is from RNAcentral. Lineage: Eukaryota; Viridiplantae; Streptophyta; Magnoliopsida; Asterales; Asteraceae.
GUGGUAGGUGUCGAUACUAAAAGCACGAUUUGUGUUGUGAUAAAUUUUCUGUGAUAAUUCUAUCAUAGUUUUCGAACCUUAGUUGUAGCGAGAUGGUGAAGGUAGUAGUUGUCGAGUAGUUUACGUGCUUUUAACAUUAUGUGUGUAUUUUUAUGCCUUAUGUGAAUUAGCAUCCUUGAGGUGUUUGAUGUCGGUUACUCGUGAUGGCGGCGUUACUUCGGGGGUGGCGUUAGGUCACGAGAUGUGGGUUACUAGUGAUGGCGGCGUUACCUUCGGGGUGGUGUCAGGUCACGAGAAACAUCACUGAGAUGCUUAGAUGAUUAGCCCUAGUGGCAACGAACCCUUCGGGGUUAAUAUGUGGGUGACGGACUCUUCGGGGUCAAAUUGGGCAAAUGAUGAUAGCCUACGGGCAACAACUGAUGUUUGACGAAUGAUGUUAAAUGAUGCGGGUGACGAAUGAUAUUCUAUUAUGCAUCUGUCGAGUGAUGUUAAAUUGUGUAGUUUAUACGGACAAGGUUAAGUUACAAUUGAGUUUUUAGGCCAUUAAUUGUUAUGUCCUGGAUACAGGUUGGUUUGGUUAAUCGUCCAAAGAAUUAAGAUGCGAUGUGGGUCAUCCUUUGGUGUUUAAGUAACCUGAUCCACAUCGGAAAGGAUUACUUGUAGGAUGAUUGGACCUAGGAUAUGGGUUGAGUUUUGGGUCGUUUUGGGUGACGGGUUUGAGUCGUUAAACUUUAAAUUGAUGUUAACGUAUUUUAAUCGAUGUUGGUGAUUUUACAAUGAUGGUGUUUUGGUUUUCAAAUAAAUCAUUUGAGACGUGUUUCAAGUGCUUUAAAUUAAACUAUUAGCACUCAUUCAGCGUAGCUGACUUUUGCAUGUAUGUUAGAUUGUUUUACAGGUGGGUGAUUCGAGUCGAGGUUGCUCUUGGCUAGCGGAUGAGAUUACUCGUGUUACAGUGGAAGGCAUUUGGUUUGUU